Molecule: ribosomal RNA, 301 nt
Filed under: uncultured bacterium
Lineage: Bacteria
Description: partial 16S ribosomal RNA
Rfam family: Bacterial small subunit ribosomal RNA
Source: RNAcentral
CAGUAGCCACGGUAAAACGUAGGUGGCGAGCGUUGUCCGGAAUCAUUGGGCGUAAAGGGAGCGCAGGCGGGCAUGUAAGUCUUUCUUAAAAGUUCGGGGCUCAACCCCGUGAUGGGAAAGAAACUACAUGUCUUGAGUACAGGAGAGGAAAGCGGAAUUCCUAGUGUAGUGGUGAAAUGCGUAGAUAUUGGGAGGAACACCGGCGGCGAAGGCGGCUUACUGGACGACAACUGACGUUGAGGCUCGAAGGCGUGGGUAGCAAACAGGAUUAGAUACCCCUGUAGUCCCUGUCUCUUAUACC